GGGACCCGGCGCUCUUUGUGUCGCGGGAGCGCCUCGGGUGCGGGCGUGCGGCACGGCCGCGACCACCGCCGGGCUGCCGGCUGAAUGAGAGCGCGGGGCCCGCUCUUAUUUCUCCCCGCCGUUGUGCGGAUGGGAGACCUUUGCGCUACGCCCUGAGCGCUUGCGUAGCGAGUCUGACGGCUGUGCCGAAGCGAUCGGACGUGAAAACGGGCGCCUUAACGCACCUCCACAGCUGAUCUCGGGGAGAGCCUUGCGUAUAACGAGGUGCUGUUGUCAUUCGUGCGCAAACACCGCACGCUGGCUUCUCCUGGGUGAUACUGGGGGCUGCAGGGAAAGCACAGCGCUGAGCAGGUGGCUCCAGCGCGGCCAUAGAGGCACCCGUGCAUCCAGCAGUCUGGGUGCGGAGAGGUGGCUCUCGCCCUCCGUUACAGGGGGCCACGCUCCCCAGGCAGCCAAAGGAGCAGCAAGGCAAAAGGCCAACUACAGCAAAGACCCGAGCCCUGCUUACAGGGAGGUCGCCCAGCACAAAGCCCACCAGGACGCCAAAGGCGCCGGCAGCGCUCAACUCAAAUGCGACUGCGGCCCCGCUAACAGGACAGGUGCUUUGCCCAGGGAGCCUCUCUCCUUCCCCCCCGCAUCUGCACGCUUCCGCAUCCUCUUCUUGCUCGCUCCUGCCGCCCAGGUCCCCACGCCGCUUCUUCUUCUUUCUUCUGCAGCAGCUCCUGAAACAUCAGCGGGGACACCAUUAGACCCGCGCAGUGGCAAGCCCCCCACCUGAAGGAAAAGGCAAACGCAGCAUUGCAAAGGAACUCGGCACGCAAACACCCAGCCAAGAAAGGCCUCGCAUCCCUGUGUUCCCUCCAUCCCCCCCUCCCCCCCCCCCCGCCUCCCAGCUUCAUCCCAGCAAAAACUACUUCAAGCAGCUUUUCUCACCUCACUGAUGCGCGGCGGACUUCCAGCCGGUGCUGCGGGGGAUCACAGAGGCGGGCAGGCUGGGCAAAUGGGGCUGGGCAUACAAAAAGCAGAGGCCAAAGAGCCAGCUUCCCUGCUUACAGGGGGCCCUCAGCCACUGCCUCCAAUGCAAAGACAGCAGUUUUCAUUGCAGUAAUUCUUCUGUACAAAAUCAAUGAUGUGGCCAUCUCGGCUCUUCUGAAAUCUGAGUGUACCCCUUGUGAAAGGGAGGAUCUUUUGCCCAGUGAUCGUCUUCUCUUUUUGUUCAUAUGCCAUUCUGGGUUCCAUAAAUUCAUCUCAUUUCUUCAGUUUCAUUGUUCCUUUUAACAGUCACAUACACAUCAGGUGUUCCUUCCUGAGUAGUAGAUGCCCUCAAAUAUAAUUAAAAAUAAAUUUAUAUAUAUAUAUUUAAGGAAUUCUUCACAGUGACACGUCCCAUCUCUACCCGUACAGCAAAAAUCCCUUCUGAGCUCCGAGAUACCAUUGCUGAGGGAAAAGAGUGAAAGAAGCUGAUACAUGAUGUAGGAAGUAUACCAUUUAUUUAUCAUCUCAGGAUGUUCUUGUUUUAUAGAGCUGCUUGUAUUUUAUAACUCAUUGACACACGGUGGUUGGAAAUGCUCACCUAUUGGCUCUGUCUUGCAGUGUGUUUGCUAAAUUCAUUUUGUUCUGUCCUUGGCUACAUUCUUUCUCAUUGCAACAGUGGUCUUAAAAUGGAGCUGUGGAGGUGACACUGAUGGACACAGAACGUUAUGGCGCUCCUGCAAAUGGGCGAUGCCAAGUAGGCUGUAGCAGUAGCAGAAAUGGUCUCAUCAGCUGCGAGGAAAAGGUUCCCUUCAGGGGAUCCUCUGCCCAACAUGUCAGCUGGGCAAAGGGACUGCGUGGAGAAAGGAAUCCAGGACCUGAGGGAAGCGGCUGUGCUUGCAAGUGGUUAACAUAGGAUUUUACUAUUUUUCAAGUGCUUUGUUCAAGCUGUUUAUUCAUGAAAUGCAAGUUUAUCUAAGAGCCCCGGUAGGUAAGUAGGUUUCGGCCGUGCUGAAGCUGUUUCAGGAAAGCUGGGGAAAAAUAAUGUUUAUGCCCUGGAAGACAUAAUUCAGGGCGUUCAUUUUGUAGUUUGAAGCUUACUUCUGUUUUGAGUUUGUUUGAAGUACUUUGAGAAAUACAGUGUCAGAAAGUUGAGAUUAAGAAGACAUUAAUUGUAGGUAAAUUGAUUUUGAAGUGCACAUAAUUCCUGCAUGCCCUAAUGGAACCGGCUACAUAACACCAGAAUAACAAUACUAAUGAUCCAAUAAAGGGAUUUUUCAGGCUAACACGACAUCAUCGCAAAGGUUCUCCUCAUCAUAUCAUAAGAUAGUAAUUUUAUCACGGUAUGUAAUAUUAGUGAUUAUAUUCCUUCAGUUCCAUCACCCUUCCUGUUUCUUGUGAUUAUGAUCCAUCACAGAUCGGUUUACUAAACUGUGAGUGAAGGUAGAGAGGAACAGCUGAAGAAUUUUUCACAUUCCUCAGUUUCCACUUUAUCUUACAUACUGAAGGGGAAACAUUCAGAUAGGUUGGCUUAGGAGGCCAUCUACUCUCUUUCAGGUGUAGGACUGAUUCCUCAGGGACUUCCAGAUGCAAAAAUUGCAAUGAUAACCAGACGGAUGCAAAUAAAUACAGAGGCACUCAGAAUUCCUGACAUCAACUGAAUCUAAACUGACAGAACGGAUUUCCUUCUCAUUUGUUUUUGUUUGAAACAGUGGUGCUUACUAGCACUUUUGGGAAAGCACUCAGUAAAUACAGAAGGCUGAAAAAGUAUUGUCUACUUUGGCUUUAAUUACAACAAAUGCAUAAGUAAAUAAAUAAAUUCAUGAAGAAGUCUGGUCCUGUAGAUAGUUUCUACUAAGAAAAGCAGGGUUAUAUUCUGAAAGAAAGAACAACCUUUCCCAGCAUAUAUAGUAAAAUAAAACAUCCAUUCUUCCAUUCAUCUUUUCUUAGCAAUAAUGUACCGUUACUCAUGGCUUGCAUUUACCUAUCAAAAGCGUAAAUGGAUUAAGCCCACAAAUGCUUCCCAGAGCUCCAAACUAAAUAGAAGGCUCAGGAAACAUCGGGAGGCAGCCCCAACUUCCACCAACACUGAUCAGUUCAGGAAUUUUCUGUCAAACAGCGUACAACUCGCUCAGCAAUAAAUCCACUUGCCCUUAUUUCCAAUAUCCUACCCUGUUUUACUUCCCAGGAAAACAACGACAACAACAACGAUACAUCCCCAACCCGCAGAGCAAGGACAUGCACAAUGCUGGGUUUUAUCCCUCUGUUAAAACAAAUAAAACUACAAAUCAGAACGAAAGAAAAUGCUUGCAGAGUUCUCUGUCAGUUCUGUAGCCAUUUACAGACCACCACCACCAAGGGCACCUCGUUGAGAAGGCUGAAACAUCCCCGCCUUGUAAUUGUACCACAGUUGUGAAAAUAAAAUUCAUUUCCAAACAUUUCCCUAAGAUGUUCAAAGCCUGGACCGCCAAAGCAAAAUGCACCAAGACCCCAGCAUUUCAUCUAGCUGUCUAAAAUAUUAAACUUUUCAUAUAUGCCGUAUUUGAAUGCGUCCUUCUCCAAGUGCACUUCAGAGCGCUCGCCCCACAUCAGCAACGGUAGUUCCGGCAUACUGCAAUUUACCGAUCCCCACGGGAAUGCCUGCAAGGAUUCCAUCUGAAGGUUUAGGCGACAUCCAAAGUUAGUGGGCGCUUCAGCAGCUGAAAUAGAAAUGCUGUUCAGCUCCCCGGCCAUCUUCUCCAGACCGUGCCUCCAAUAAGAACAGUACACUUGCAUGCGUUCCUGAACUACAAUGGGACAGGACAGUGAUUAAAGUAGUGAAGCAUAGCGCAGUAUCUCUCUGGUAACAUACAUUGUGUAUGGAAUGGAGCGUAAAGGGAAAUGAGAUGAACUUUGUACAGCUCACCUUAAUUAAGUCGUGUCCUGAUGGAAAUUAAUUUGAAUGUUAAUAGCAUGUAUAAAUGUUGUCUGAGCUUUCUCUCAGUGCCCACUUCAAGCCACAUGCACUGUCCCGGGUCUGUCAGUUCCGGGUGUUCACAUACAUUCUCCUAUUCAUCCAGCUGGCCGUCACUUUGUAUCUUGCAAGUGAUUAACAGCAAAUUCUAUGGACAAUAAGAGUUACAUCUUAGCACCUUUCCAAACAUCUGCCAGCCAGCACACCACGCUUCAGCCCCACCACAGGCUUCUGAAUUUCACACUGUUUCAGGAGGUUUUAUUAAAUUAAGACUGUGGAGCACCAUGUUUUUGUCGGCCCCUAGUUUUACUUUGGUUUGUAGUCCCCCUGAGCACUGAAGGUCUGCACGUUUGUUCCAACAAGACUUAUUUUUCUUAUUAAUUAAUUUAUUUUUUUUUCCUUUUUCUUUUGUUCGGAAUUGGGGCGAUGGAAAGCGGAGCGGAGACGCACCCAGCGGGGGCCUCUGGAAACCGUUAAGGCCGGGAACGUUCUUCGGAGGGGAGACGCUCUAUCGCGCCGGUCGCGUCGGAUGCAAAGCGACCCGUUUGAAUUGGCACAAUUACUUAACUUAUCGAUGAAUCCCACAGUGCGGCGAGGAGAAGCGCGUAACAAACUGUACUUCAAAGUGUAAUUUAAGUCCCUAAUUCAGAUCCGGAGUCCGCACGUCAAACUGUCAGAGCCCCGGGCCGUCCCUAACGAGGCCGGCUGCGCUAAGGAGGCAACGACUCCCAGGUGCCGCGGGGCCGCGGCCGGCCGGGCGCAGCUGCGCCUCGUCGGGAGCCGCGGGCGGGGCCCGCCCCAAAGCCUCUUAAGCUCCUCCGGAGGCUGCCGGGAGCCACGGGGGAGUUUCUGCGGUUGUGGAUAGGCGACGGCGGGGGUUCUGUUUCUUUGUCGGGCCCUGGUGUUGCUGAGGCUGAGAAGCGGCUGCUGUGAGCCCUUUUGCGGCUGAGCGUGGGCUGCAGCAGAGGCUCUCAUCGGCCCGAAGCAGUGAGCUCGUGGAAGCGGUGAGUGUUUGAGAGUCGCUCGGUAAGAUCUCUCGUGCUGGGGCUCCUGUAGGGUUGCUGCUCGACUGCCUCCGUGUCUUUGGGAUCGGCACGGCGCCGCCGCUGGGCUCCCGCGUGGCUUUUUAGUAGGACCGGCACGGGGCCGCCGCCCGAGACCGAGCACGAUCCCGGGGUGGCCUCGGCCACUGCGGAGGGUUUUGCGGGUGCUCUCACCCAUCCCGUUUCCAGCGGUGGGAGCGAGCAGGAAAGACAGACCGGCCAGGCGGUGGAGUCUCUCUUCGAGGGAGAGAACGGGAACGUAUCGAGCUCCACCUGGGGGUGAAUGAAGAACCAGCGGAGCGUUUGUGCGUGAGGCUGAAGAGGCAGCUGGAAGUGGUGCCCACAGCUGUGAGGCCAGUUCUCAUGGUAGGCUCCAGGAGUUUCCUGCAAUGUGUCAAAGGUAAGAUCUUCUGACACAGGUGAUGAAGGAGGCAUUGAGGAGAGGGGCUGCUGGAGCUCCCUAUUGCAGAAGAGCCAUUUGGGGACAGGAAGGCCAGGGGCAGCCUGGAGCGUGCCAGUCGUGAGACCACAGCGUUUGGGAUCUUGUGUGGAAGCUGCAAAGCAAUGAGUAGGAUUGAAACACUGGACUUAGAGGGAGCCAAGUUUGUCCUCUUGAAGGGCCUACUUGGAGGUAACCCUUGCUCAAGCAUAGGAAGGGGUCCUGUGAAUGCUGGAGCAUUACUUCGUCCAUGCUGAGGUGCGCUGCGUCCCAAGGAGGAAGGAACUGCGCAGGAAUGGUGGGAGACCUGCAGGGCUGACUGAGGAACUUGAAGGGGAGAAGGAAGAGAGGCUGAGGAAGGCCAAGUCCCUCUGAGUAUCAGCUUUGGGAGGGAGGUCAGGGCUGAUGGAAGUUUGUCAACAGGAGAGACUGGAGAAAUUGCAGGCCUGUGCUUCACAAGGCAAGUAAUGGAGGAUGGAGGAUGUGCUGGAUGCCUCUUGGGUUUCAGUGGUUUCUGCUGAGAGUGCUCCUGGGGAACCUGGGGUCCUGGUGGAGAGAGUCCCUGAGGAAGGAAGGAUGUCUUCCCCUCAGUUGCGGAGGAGCUGGUCAAAAGUGGUUCAGGCAGAAAGGAGGCCAGCAAAUGCCUGAGCUGUAGAGGGCUAUGCCUGUGCCCGCUGAGAGCUGGCAGCGGUGACUGGCAAAUGGCGCUCUCUGUCACUUUUCCCUGCUGUUUCCUGUGGGAAAGGUACCUGAAGACUGGAGGAUGGCGGAUGCCACCGCAGCCUUCAGAAAGGGUGUGGAGGAUGGCGUGUGCAACUUGGAGGUAGGUUGGCCUCACCUCACCUCUGUUCCUGGGGAGGUGACGCAACAGCUUGUUGCAGGUGUCAUUGCCAUGUGACCGGAGGAGAAGGAAUUUGCAAGGAGCCGUCCAGGUGGAUGGACAGAGGAGAAGUCAUGCUGGACCAAAAGGGUGAAGGCUGCAGAGAGGCUUGGCUGGAGCAGGUUCAGGCUGGAGGCAGGAUCCUGGCGGUGUGAGUGGGGCGCCCCUGUGGAGCAAGGGUGGAAGGUGCGUGGCAGGUCCUGUCCCGGAGGAGUGGAGUUAAGGGUCCUGGCGUGGCUGAUGUCCUGCAUGGAAGAUGGAGAUCCUGGGAGCUGCGAGGAGGAGGAGCAGAGCCAGCAGGUAGGCCUGGGGUGUUGUGCUGUCUUGGCUCUGUUUGUGUCUGCUUAGGUGGCCGGCUGGCUUUGGUGCGUCAGAGGUUUGUGUUGGUGAUGUGGCAGGCUUGUUUGCUGGUGGUCUUGUGGUGGGGCUUGUCUUUUUUUUUGGUUAGGAGGCUGGUGGUAGAAAGUGGCUUGGGUGGUUUUGGUGUGGAAGGUGGAGUUGGCUUUGUGGUGUGCUGGUUGUUGGGUUUGGUGGUGGUUUUUCUUGGGAGCUGUCUGGCUUUAUUUGGUUGUUGGCAGUACAGUGGGAGGCUGGUGUGGUGGUCUCUUUUGUCUUCUGGUGGCCUUUGGUGUGUGUGUGUUUUGAGGCUGGUGGAGGGAAUGUCUUGUGGCUGGUUGUGUUGGGUAUGAGGUUGGUUGUGUGGGCAGUAGUGUGGUGUUUGUUUUGGAGCUGUGUGGUGAAACAGCCAAGAGCAGAGCCUGCCCUGGGGGUGGGCUGUGCUCUUGGCUGGUGGUGGGGGGC
Gallus gallus (chicken) is the source of this 7088-nucleotide long non-coding RNA. NCBI's taxonomy places the organism in Eukaryota, Metazoa, Chordata, Aves, Galliformes, Phasianidae. The record is from Ensembl.